Daktulosphaira vitifoliae (grape phylloxera) is the source of this 616-nucleotide long non-coding RNA. RefSeq lists it as uncharacterized. The transcript has 2 exons. The record is from RefSeq and is a predicted model, not a curated record. Lineage: Eukaryota; Metazoa; Arthropoda; Insecta; Hemiptera; Phylloxeridae.
AAAUUGAUAAUAAAAAAUCUAGUACUCUUUGGUCACGUAUAUGCGCUCUGUCGGAUAAUGGAUUACAUACCUCAUUAUCAAAGCUAGAUGAUCAUAUAAAUAAUAUUAUAACAAAUUCAAGUCUUCAAUGCUUCAGAAUAUAGUUUAUAAUAUUCUGACGAGAUUUGCAGGCUCCGUCAAUAAUUCGAAUUUAAUAUGACGGGCUACCUCGUAUUAUAUUACCUCCAAAGAACAAAACUAGUUAAUCCAACGCUAUAAAUAAAAUAAUUUUCAAAUCGUUUAAGAGAAGAAUAAAUAAAUAAACUAAUUUUGUAGCUAGUCAGUCAAAAUGCAUUUUACCAAACUUAGAUUGAAAACAUUUGUUGAUUAUACUUGAAGUUGUUUAUUAUGAAAUAUACAAUCAUGAAAAAAUUAAAUUAUUAGAAUAUCUUAAAAAUUGUAAACCCUCUCAAAAGUAAAACCAAGGAUAAUGAAUUGAACAAUAAGUGAUAGAAGAUGGCCUAUAAUAACAAAAACUCUAUUAUUUAUUAGCCUACUAGUGAUGUUUUAUUUGCUAAUGUUUAGGCAUUUAGAACGAUUUAGUUUAAUAUUCUGAUUAAGAAUAAAUAAAAAAAUG